RNAcentral lists this transfer RNA (68 nucleotides) under Marmota monax (woodchuck). RNAcentral's name for it is "tRNA.Ala". The stretch from base 5 to 65 matches the Rfam family "tRNA", at positions 6 to 65 of the family's 71-position model. From Rfam's summary of the family: Transfer RNA (tRNA) molecules are approximately 80 nucleotides in length. Lineage: Eukaryota; Metazoa; Chordata; Mammalia; Rodentia; Sciuridae. The record is from RNAcentral.
GGAUUGUGGCUCAGUGGUAGAGCUUUUGCCUAGCAUGCAUGAGGUACUAGGUUUGAUACCCAGCACCA